RNAcentral lists this non-coding RNA (253 nucleotides) under uncultured bacterium. RNAcentral's name for it is "partial 16S ribosomal RNA". It matches the Rfam family "Bacterial small subunit ribosomal RNA", at positions 524 to 776 of the family's 1533-position model. RNAcentral also lists the same sequence under 1 other name. The record is from RNAcentral.
UACAGAGGGUGCAAGCGUUAAUCGGAAUUACUGGGCGUAAAGCGCACGUAGGUGGCUGGGUAAGUUGGAUGUGAAAUCCCCGGGCUUAACUUGGGAAUUGCAUUCAAGACUGCCUUGCUAGAGUGUGGAAGAGGGAAGCGGAAUUCCAGGUGUAGCGGUGAAAUGCGUAGAUAUCUGGAGGAACAUCAGUGGCGAAGGCGGCUUCCUGGUCCAACACUGACACUGAGGUGCGAAAGCGUGGGGAGCAAACAGG